AAUAUUGCACAAUGGAGGGAACUCUGAUGCAGCAACGCCGCGUGCGUGAAGAAGGUUUUCGGAUCGUACAACUCUGUCAUUGGGGAAGAAUAAAUGACGGUAUCCAAAGAGGAAGCCCCGGCUCUCUAUGUGUAAGCAGCGGCGGUAAUACACAGGUGGCAAGCGUUAUCCGGAAGUAUUGGGCGUAAAGCGCGCGUAGGCAGUUUCUUAAGUCUGAUGUGCAAGCCCACGGCUUAACCGUGGGAUUGCAUUUGAAACUGGAAGGCUUGAGUAUCGGAGAGGGUAGUGGAAUUCCCAGUGUAGCGGUGGAAUGCGUAGAUAUUGGGAGGAACACCAGUGGCGAAGGCGACUACCUGGACGAAAACUGACGCUGAGGCACGAAAGCGUGGGGAGCAAACA
RNAcentral lists this ribosomal RNA (399 nucleotides) under uncultured bacterium. Its description in RNAcentral is "partial 16S ribosomal RNA". It matches the Rfam family "Bacterial small subunit ribosomal RNA", at positions 360 to 774 of the family's 1533-position model. The record is from RNAcentral.